Non-coding RNA from Peromyscus maniculatus bairdii (prairie deer mouse), 1622 nucleotides. NCBI's taxonomy places the organism in Eukaryota, Metazoa, Chordata, Mammalia, Rodentia, Cricetidae. The record is from RefSeq and is a predicted model, not a curated record.
UGCCUGCCUGCAGGGCACCACUUUCCCAAGCCUCCCAAUUGCACAGAUCCCAGCGCCCAUGAGCUGUACCACCCUGAACAUACUCCAGCUCAACUGAUCUGCAAAGCCAAGAAGCCUGGGCCUGCUUAGAAUUUAAUGCGAAACAUCCCAGGAGGAGAACCAGAAGAGAAGGAAAAACAUUUACUGCAUGCAAGAAGAAACAGCUGUGGAGGAAACAGAGCAGUGAUCAGGACCCCAUGAAGUCCCCUCUGGGGUGGUAGCACCCAUGUAAGGAGGGGGAGAUGUGACAUCCUGCAGUCAAGGGUCAGCCCCAUCCCUGGAAGUCACAGAGCCUGGAGAGGGUGAAUACAGCAGAGUCGUUCCUGUUGGUCGGAACUAAGAUUUGUGCUAAGAGCCUCAAGAAGCCAGGAGACAUUCUGAGCCUCCACCUGGGUCCCCUGCAACUCUAGGGACUCGGCUAAGAUUGGCAGCAGAGUGUCCAGCCAAGAACAGGACUGCAUUUUAAGGAAGCAGCCAGCUCAAAGGGUCUGCACUAUGGCUGCCUCUCCUUGGAGACCACCCCCAAUCACUCUGAUCUGUAUAUGUCCUGGUUUCUAUGAGGAUGAGAACGAGAAACUCUGGAUGGUUGUAAGUCUGGGCUUUAGAUCCUUUCAUCCAACUGAAAACAGGGCACUGAAGACUUGGGAACACUCCCUGAGCCACCUUAGUGCAAAGCAUCCAGAAACAGUGGCAGUUUCAGUACAAAACUUUUAGCUACUAUGACUGUCACCUUGCAGCAGUUGAUAAGAUGCCACCAGGAGUCCCUGAACCCCAUCCCCUUUACUAUGUCCUGUCUUCCCCAAAUAUGGCAGCAAUAUUCCGAGAUAUUUUACUGGGGGAAAGACUCAACGUUCUGGCAAUUAGUGGACCAUAUCCAGAUUGACAACACAGAACGACUGAUCCUAAGGAUGGUGGACAAUGUCAGUAAGUGAGAUUUGCAGUUUGGCAAUCCCUCCCACCCUGCUGAGAGCUGAGAUUCAGAGGAUCUGCUUCUGGGGGCCUGGCCCAUCUGUGUCCUGAGUCUUCUCCCUUGCUAAGUACAACUGCGGCUUUCUUGCCCCCAUUUGCCUCUGAUGCUGACCUCACAGGUGGUCCUUCUAAAGACCCCUCCUCCCUCGAACCCCUCUCCUGGGCUCCCAGUGCAGCAUGCACCUCAGGUGGCUCUGACCUGGAGGUGCCUCUGGAGCAGGAAUGGAUGGGGACUCCAUGCCCUAUGGAUCUCUGAGACACCAACACUGGCUAGGAGUUGACCUGGUGCUGGGCAGAGGAUGCUGUGCUCAGUAGCUUGAAGGCACCUUGGGAUAUGCACAGGGAACAUCUGGUGUGCUUCUCCCACAUGUUCAGUUCUUGGCUCCUAGAAGUAAUGCUGACCCUACUUCCCACCAUCAAACUUGUUUUUAACUAAUUAAACUUUACUGCUUUUAUUUAGAUUCUGAGCUGGGCCAGGAUGUCCUUAUCUGCUUUCUAGUGUUGCAGGUGAAAGCUGGCCCCCAAAUAUUACAGAAAUAUUUUGUGAUUUUUUUCUAGACAUUUCCACACUGGAAGGAGUGGCUACUGGUCCAUUUAAACAUCAGGGAACUGGG